Molecule: unclassified non-coding RNA, 167 nt
Organism: Chelonoidis abingdonii (Abingdon island giant tortoise)
Lineage: Eukaryota; Metazoa; Chordata; Testudines; Testudinidae
Source: Ensembl
UUGAUAGCCCUGAAGGUUGAGGUCCUUAAAAUUUAUCCAUAGACCCAGUACAGCACAGGCAGUAGCAGUGCAGGCUUUCAGGUAUCCACGCAUGAACAUACAACAUACCACUGUAAACGUCCAUUAGCAAUAGCGCAGCCUCCAUACCUAUUCAGUCCUUGGCCAUU